Molecule: non-coding RNA, 98 nt
Organism: Rhodospirillales bacterium 70-18
Lineage: Bacteria; Pseudomonadati; Pseudomonadota; Alphaproteobacteria; Rhodospirillales
Source: Rfam
GGAGGUCGGCGGCGGACGGGCGCCUCGCCAACCUGGUCAGGACCGGAAGGUAGCAGCCACAACGGGUUUCCGCUCGGGUCGUUUGUUCGGCCUCCCAC